RNAcentral lists this ribosomal RNA (389 nucleotides) under Choanoflagellata sp. RNAcentral describes it as "partial small subunit ribosomal RNA". It matches the Rfam family "Eukaryotic small subunit ribosomal RNA", at positions 582 to 975 of the family's 1831-position model. The record is from RNAcentral. Lineage: Eukaryota; Choanoflagellata.
AUUCCAGCUCCAAUAGCGUAUAUUAAAGUUGUUGCAGUUAAAAAGCUCGUAGUUGGAUUUCUGUUCUCGAGGAUCGGUCCGCCUCACGGUGAGCACUGGUUUUUCUUGGGGACAUCCUCUCGAAGGCGGGUGGUGCACUUAAUUGUGUGCUGCUUGGAUUCGGGACCUUUACUUUGAAAAAAUUAGAGUGUUCAAAGCAGGCGUCGGCUUGAAUACAUUAGCAUGGAAUAAUGGAAUAGGACUUUGGUUCUAUUUUGUUGGUUUCUAGGACCGAAGUAAUGAUUAAUAGGGACAGUUGGGGGCAUUAGUAUUUAAUUGUCAGAGGUGAAAUUCUUGGAUUUAUGAAAGACUAACUACUGCGAAAGCAUUUGCCAAGGAUGUUUUCAUCG